CCUACGGGCGGCAGCAGUGGGGAAUAUUGCUCAAUGGGGGAAACUCUGAUGCAGCGACGCCGCGUGAGUGAAGAAGUACUUCGUUACGUAAAGCUCUAUCAGCAGGGAAGAAAAUGACGGUACCUGAGUAAGAAGCCCCGGCUAACUACGGGCCAGCAGCCGCGGUAAUACGUAGGGGGCAAGCGUUAUCCGGAUUUACUGGGUGUAAAGGGGGCGUAGACGGUGUGCCAAGUCUGGAGUGAAAUGCCGCAGCUUAACUGCGGAACUGCUUUGGAAACUGGCGAACUAGAGUGCGGGAGGGGUAAGCGGAAUUCGUAGUGUAGCGGUGAAAUGCGUAGAUAUUAGGAGGAACACCGGUGGCGAAGGCGGCUUACUGGACCGCAACUGACGUUGAGGCUCGAAAGCGUGGGGAGCAAACAGGAUUAGAUACCCCAGUAGUC
This 440-nucleotide ribosomal RNA is filed under the name uncultured bacterium. Its description in RNAcentral is "partial 16S ribosomal RNA". It matches the Rfam family "Bacterial small subunit ribosomal RNA", at positions 338 to 795 of the family's 1533-position model. The record is from RNAcentral.